Molecule: ribosomal RNA, 443 nt
Filed under: uncultured bacterium
Lineage: Bacteria
Description: partial 16S ribosomal RNA
Rfam family: Bacterial small subunit ribosomal RNA
Source: RNAcentral
CCUACGGGAGGCAGCAGUGGGGGAUAUUGGACAAUGGGGGGAACCCUGAUCCAGCGACGCCGCGUGAGUGAAGAAGUAUUUCGGUAUGUAAAGCUCUGUCAGCAGGGAAGAAAGAAAUGACGGUACCUGACCAAGAAGCCCCGGCUAACUACGUGCCAGCAGCCGCGGUAAUACGUAGGGGGCAAGCGUUAUCCGGAAUUACUGGGUGUAAAGGGAGCGUAGACGGCAGCACAAGUCUGGAGUGAAAUGCCGGGGCUUAACCCCGGAACUGCUUUGGAAACUGUGCAGCUAGAGUGCAGGAGAGGUAAGUGGAAUUCCUAGUGUAGCGGUGAAAUGCGUAGAUAUUAGGAGGAACACCAGUGGCGAAGGCGGCUUACUGGACUGUAACUGACGUUGAGGCUCGAAAGCGUGGGGAGCAAACAGGAUUAGAUACCCCUGUAGUC